Molecule: long non-coding RNA, 201 nt
Filed under: Lathyrus oleraceus (garden pea)
Lineage: Eukaryota; Viridiplantae; Streptophyta; Magnoliopsida; Fabales; Fabaceae
Description: Pisum sativum (pea) long non-coding RNA (PSAT_LNC012139)
Source: RNAcentral
AGAAAAAGUUUGCAAAUUUAAUGGCAUAGGGCCAAAGUUUCUAAUCAUUAAAAUAAAGUCUAAGUUUGAAAAUAAAAGCAAAGAAGUUUUCGAAAACAGGGAGAGGUUUUGAAAUUUAAGAAGUGGGGGAUAUGAAGAGACUAUCCUAAGCACAAAUUAAAAGUCAAGAGUUGAAAAGAUCUGACCAAAGGGAUGUAAUCC